AUCCCAGCUUUGGGUGGAUAUAUACUCAAAUGGGAACAACAGAGAAAAGAUAAGCAUGGCCCCUGCGCAAGAAUGACACGCACAAUCUUGACUCGUUCCGCAUUUUU
Molecule: non-coding RNA, 107 nt
Organism: Anopheles merus
Lineage: Eukaryota; Metazoa; Arthropoda; Insecta; Diptera; Culicidae
Source: Rfam